GAAUUGGAUGCUCUAGAGAAGGGU
Molecule: non-coding RNA, 24 nt
Filed under: Cricetulus griseus (Chinese hamster)
Lineage: Eukaryota; Metazoa; Chordata; Mammalia; Rodentia; Cricetidae
Source: RNAcentral